RNAcentral lists this ribosomal RNA (777 nucleotides) under uncultured Neocallimastigales. RNAcentral describes it as "partial large subunit ribosomal RNA". It matches the Rfam family "Eukaryotic large subunit ribosomal RNA", at positions 22 to 635 of the family's 3401-position model. Lineage: Eukaryota; Fungi; Neocallimastigomycota; Neocallimastigomycetes; Neocallimastigales. The record is from RNAcentral.
UGUGUAUCAGUACAUGGCAUAUCAAUAAGCGGAGGAAAAGAAACUAACAAGGAUUCCCUUAGUAACGGCGAGUGAAGCGGGAAGAGCUCAAAUUUGAAAUCUUCAAGGUUCUACCUUGACGAAUUGUAGUUUAUAGAAGUGUUUUCUGUUAGUGGAGUGGCAAAAGUUCUUUGGAAUAGGACAUCAUAGAGGGUGAGAAUCCCGUAUUUUGGUCAUUCCUCCUAGCGUUGUGAUACACUUUCAACGAGUCGGAUUGUUUGGGAAUGCAGUCCAAAAUGGGUGGUAAAUUUCAUCUAAAGCUAAAUAUUGGCGAGAGACCGAUAGCGAACAAGUACCGUGAGGGAAAGAUGAAAAGAACUUUGAAAAGAGAGUUAAACAGUACGUGAAAUUGUCAAAAGGGAAGCGUUUGACACCAGUGUUGUUUUUCCGAGAAUCAAUUACGAAUGUUUUGUUUUUAAGGAGUUAUGACUUCAUCGGCUUGCUCCUUUCUUUAUGAAACUUUCUUAAUGCACUUUUCGGUUAACAAGUCAACAUCAAUUUCUUUUGUUGUAAAAGGGUAUGAGGAAGGUGGCUUUCUUUUCGGAGAAAGUGUUUAUAGCCUUGUGCCUCUGCAAUCGGAGAGAUUGAGGUCUGCAGCGUAGAUCCUUCGGGGUUAGAUACGUUUGUGCUAAGUUAUAGCUUUUCAUAGACAACUUGUUGACUAUGUUUAAGUCUUGUGAGCUUACUCGCUUACGCUAUUUUACCUACGCUUAGGAUGUUGACAGCAGUAUAGACUGU